This 119-nucleotide ribosomal RNA is filed under the name Arabidopsis thaliana (thale cress). The record is from RNAcentral. Lineage: Eukaryota; Viridiplantae; Streptophyta; Magnoliopsida; Brassicales; Brassicaceae.
ACAUGCGAUCAUACCCGCACUAAUGCACUGGAUUCCAUUAGAACUCCGCAGUUAAGGGUGCUUGGGCUAGAGUAGUACUAGGAUUGAUUACCUCCCGGAAAGUCCUCGUGUUGCAUCCC